GCCGGAGUGGUGAAAUCGGUAGACACGAGGGACUCAAAAUCCCUUGACCUUGCGUCGUGUCGGUUCGAGUCCGACCUCCGGCA
This 83-nucleotide transfer RNA is filed under the name Candidatus Zixiibacteriota bacterium. Its description in RNAcentral is "tRNA-Leu". It matches the Rfam family "tRNA". Rfam says of the family: Transfer RNA (tRNA) molecules are approximately 80 nucleotides in length. Lineage: Bacteria; Pseudomonadati; Candidatus Zixiibacteriota. The record is from RNAcentral.